UACGUAGGGGGCAAGCGUUGUCCGGAAUCAUUGGGCGUAAAGAGCGUGUAGGCGGUCCGGUAAGUCGGCUGUGAAAGUCCAGGGCUCAACCCUGGGAUGCCGGUCGAUACUGCCGGACUAGAGUUCGGAAGAGGCGAGUGGAAUUCCCGGUGUAGCGGUGAAAUGCGCAGAUAUCGGGAGGAACACCUAUGGCGAAGGCAGCUCGCUGGGACGUUACUGACACUGAGAGACGAAAGCUAGGGGAGCAAAUGGG
RNAcentral lists this ribosomal RNA (253 nucleotides) under uncultured bacterium. Its description in RNAcentral is "partial 16S ribosomal RNA". It matches the Rfam family "Bacterial small subunit ribosomal RNA", at positions 524 to 776 of the family's 1533-position model. The record is from RNAcentral.